This is a long non-coding RNA of Malania oleifera, 309 nucleotides long. RefSeq lists it as uncharacterized. Lineage: Eukaryota; Viridiplantae; Streptophyta; Magnoliopsida; Santalales; Ximeniaceae. The record is from RefSeq and is a predicted model, not a curated record. The transcript has 3 exons.
AGGCUAUAUGUGAAAAAAAAUAUUGUAAACCGCAGCAAACUCCCUACGAUGCAUUGCAGUGGGUCGAAGUUAUUCGUAAAUCGUCGAAGGCAUGAUCCCGAGACGGGUGCAGAGGAGCCGCUGCCAGAUCUUUAUCAGAGAACACACCAAAAGCGCUCAAGGGAGUGGUGCGACGGUGAGCAGGACAAACAUGCAAUGAUGGUCGAGCUGAGGGAUGCACCUGUUGUAGAGGGGAGCUAGCAAAUGACGGAUUACUAGAUAACGACUCAACAGCUUGGGGAACGAGCAGGGGGCUAGGUGAAAGGUCUU